RNAcentral lists this ribosomal RNA (468 nucleotides) under uncultured bacterium. RNAcentral describes it as "partial 16S ribosomal RNA". It matches the Rfam family "Bacterial small subunit ribosomal RNA", at positions 28 to 507 of the family's 1533-position model. The record is from RNAcentral.
GACGAACGCUGGCGGCGUGCUUAACACAUGCAAGUCGAACGGAAAGGCCCUGCUUUUGUUGUGUGCUCGAGUUGCGCACGGGUGAGUCACACGUGAGUAACCUGCCCUUUCCUUUGGGAAAACUUCAGUAAACUUGGGCAAAUACCGCUUAUUAGCUCCUGCUGCAUGGUGGGGUUUGUAAAGUUGCGGCGGUUUGGGUUGGACUCGCGGCUUAUCAGCUUGUUGGUGGGGUAGUGGCUUACCAAGGCUUUGACGGGUAGCCGGCCGGAGAGGGUGACCGGCAAAAUUGGGACUGAGAGACGGCGCAGACACCUACGGGAGGCAGUAGUGAGGAAUAGUGCACAAGGGGCGGAAGCGUGAUGCAGCAAAGCAGCGUGCGGGAGGAGGGAAUUCGGGUUGUAAACCGCGAACGCCUGUGACGAAGAGGGAGUGAAGGGAAUGGGUAGAGAAGCAACGGCUAAAUACGUG